Molecule: ribosomal RNA, 1561 nt
Filed under: Vibrio alginolyticus
Lineage: Bacteria; Pseudomonadati; Pseudomonadota; Gammaproteobacteria; Vibrionales; Vibrionaceae
Description: bacterial SSU rRNA
Rfam family: Bacterial small subunit ribosomal RNA
Source: RNAcentral
AAAUUGAAGAGUUUGAUCAUGGCUCAGAUUGAACGCUGGCGGCAGGCCUAACACAUGCAAGUCGAGCGGAAACGAGUUAUCUGAACCUUCGGGGAACGAUAACGGCGUCGAGCGGCGGACGGGUGAGUAAUGCCUAGGAAAUUGCCCUGAUGUGGGGGAUAACCAUUGGAAACGAUGGCUAAUACCGCAUGAUGCCUACGGGCCAAAGAGGGGGACCUUCGGGCCUCUCGCGUCAGGAUAUGCCUAGGUGGGAUUAGCUAGUUGGUGAGGUAAGGGCUCACCAAGGCGACGAUCCCUAGCUGGUCUGAGAGGAUGAUCAGCCACACUGGAACUGAGACACGGUCCAGACUCCUACGGGAGGCAGCAGUGGGGAAUAUUGCACAAUGGGCGCAAGCCUGAUGCAGCCAUGCCGCGUGUGUGAAGAAGGCCUUCGGGUUGUAAAGCACUUUCAGUCGUGAGGAAGGUAGUGUAGUUAAUAGCUGCAUUAUUUGACGUUAGCGACAGAAGAAGCACCGGCUAACUCCGUGCCAGCAGCCGCGGUAAUACGGAGGGUGCGAGCGUUAAUCGGAAUUACUGGGCGUAAAGCGCAUGCAGGUGGUUUGUUAAGUCAGAUGUGAAAGCCCGGGGCUCAACCUCGGAAUAGCAUUUGAAACUGGCAGACUAGAGUACUGUAGAGGGGGGUAGAAUUUCAGGUGUAGCGGUGAAAUGCGUAGAGAUCUGAAGGAAUACCGGUGGCGAAGGCGGCCCCCUGGACAGAUACUGACACUCAGAUGCGAAAGCGUGGGGAGCAAACAGGAUUAGAUACCCUGGUAGUCCACGCCGUAAACGAUGUCUACUUGGAGGUUGUGGCCUUGAGCCGUGGCUUUCGGAGCUAACGCGUUAAGUAGACCGCCUGGGGAGUACGGUCGCAAGAUUAAAACUCAAAUGAAUUGACGGGGGCCCGCACAAGCGGUGGAGCAUGUGGUUUAAUUCGAUGCAACGCGAAGAACCUUACCUACUCUUGACAUCCAGAGAACUUUCCAGAGAUGGAUUGGUGCCUUCGGGAGCUCUGAGACAGGUGCUGCAUGGCUGUCGUCAGCUCGUGUUGUGAAAUGUUGGGUUAAGUCCCGCAACGAGCGCAACCCUUAUCCUUGUUUGCCAGCACUUCGGGUGGGAACUCCAGGGAGACUGCCGGUGAUAAACCGGAGGAAGGUGGGGACGACGUCAAGUCAUCAUGGCCCUUACGAGUAGGGCUACACACGUGCUACAAUGGCGCAUACAGAGGGCGGCCAACUUGCGAAAGUGAGCGAAUCCCAAAAAGUGCGUCGUAGUCCGGAUUGGAGUCUGCAACUCGACUCCAUGAAGUCGGAAUCGCUAGUAAUCGUGGAUCAGAAUGCCACGGUGAAUACGUUCCCGGGCCUUGUACACACCGCCCGUCACACCAUGGGAGUGGGCUGCAAAAGAAGUAGGUAGUUUAACCUUCGGGGGGACGCUUACCACUUUGUGGUUCAUGACUGGGGUGAAGUCGUAACAAGGUAGCGCUAGGGGAACCUGGCGCUGGAUCACCUCCUUAAACGAUGAU